GACGAACGCUGGCGGCGUGCUUAACACAUGCAAGUCGAACGGAAAGGCCCUGCUUUUGUGGGGUGCUCGAGUGGCGAACGGGUGAGUAACACGUGAGUAACCUGCCCUUGACUUUGGGAUAACUUCAGGAAACUGGGGCUAAUACCGGAUAGGAGCUCCUGCUGCAUGGUGGGGGUUGGAAAGUUUCGGCGGUUGGGGAUGGACUCGCGGCUUAUCAGCUUGUUGGCGGGGUAGUGGCUUACCAAGGCUUUGACGGGUAGCUGGCCUGAGAGGGUGACCGGCCACAUUGGGACUGAGAUACGGCCCAGACUCCUACGGGAGGCAGCAGUGGGGAAUAUUGCACAAUGGGCGGAAGCCUGAUGCAGCAACGCCGCGUGCGGGAUGACGGCCUUCGGGUUGUAAACCGCUUUCGCCUGUGACGAAGCGUGAGUGACGGUAAUGGGUAAAGAAGCACCGGCUAACUACGUG
RNAcentral lists this ribosomal RNA (468 nucleotides) under uncultured bacterium. Its description in RNAcentral is "partial 16S ribosomal RNA". It matches the Rfam family "Bacterial small subunit ribosomal RNA", at positions 28 to 507 of the family's 1533-position model. The record is from RNAcentral.